This 1865-nucleotide ribosomal RNA is filed under the name Candidatus Babelota bacterium. RNAcentral describes it as "partial 23S ribosomal RNA". It matches the Rfam family "Bacterial large subunit ribosomal RNA", at positions 1097 to 2925 of the family's 2925-position model. RNAcentral also lists the same sequence under 1 other name. The record is from RNAcentral.
GAGGUUGGCUUAGAAGCAGCCAUCCUUUAAAGAAAGCGUAACAGCUCACUGGUCAAGUGUCUCUGCGCUGAAAACGAACGGGGCUCAAACGAAUCACCGAAGCUAUGGUUUACAUUAAAAUUUCGAUUUUAGUGUAGAGGUAGGGGAGCGUUCCUUGAUAGAUACGAGCUUGACCGUAAGGACAAGUGAUGUGGAUCAAGGAAGUGAGCAUGUUGGUAUUAGUAACGAAAAAACAGGUGAGAUUCCUGUUCGCCGAAAAUCUAAGGAUUCCGUGAGAUCGGUUCAUCCACUCAGGGUUAGUCGAUAUCCUAAGCCGAGGCCAAUUGGAGUAGGCGAUGGAAAGCAGGCUAAAAAUUCCUGCACCACCUAAUGACGUUUGAGCGAUGGAGUGACGCAGGAGGGUAAGUUGACUUGGCGUAUGGAUUGCCAAGCUAAGCGCAAAGGAUAGCUUCAUAGGUAAAUCCGUGAGGUGUUUCUGAAGCGUUAUGGGUAUGCCAAUUCGUAAGAAAAGGCGUAUUUGACUGAUCCCACACUGACUAGAAAAGCUUCUAGCGAGUCAAAGGGUGAUCGUACCGCAAACCGACACAGGUAGAUAGGUUGAGAAUACUAAGGCGUUGAGAUAAUUAUCAUUAAGGAACUCGGCAAAAUUGCCCCGUAACUUCGGGAGAAGGGGUGCCUGCAUUGUUACUAAAAUUUAUUUUGGAAAGCAAAGGCAGGUUACAAUAAAUAGGCCCAACCGACUGUUUAACAAAAACACAGGGCUCUGCAAACUCGUAAGAGGAAGUAUAGAGUCUGACGCCUGCCCAGUGCUGGAAGGUUAAUAGGAGGGGUUAGCUUCGGCGAAGCUCCGAUUUGAAGCCCCAGUAAACGGCGGCCGUAACUAUAACGGUCCUAAGGUAGCGAAGUACCUUGUCGGGUAAAUUCCGACGCGCAUGAAUGGCGUAACGAGUUGGGCGCUGUCUUGAUGAUAAACUCAGUGAAUUUGUAGUGCCGGUGAAAAUGCCGGCUACCCGCGGCAGGACGGAAAGACCCCGUGCACCUUUACUAUAACUUGACAUUGAUUUUUGGAUUGGUUUGUGUAGGAUAGGCGGGAGACUAUGAAGUCAGGGUGCUAGCUCUGAUGGAGUCAUCCUUGAAAUACCGCCCUUAUUGAUUUGAAAAUCUAACUUCGUUCCGUAAUCCGGACGAAAGACAGUGUCUGGUGGGUAGUUUGACUGGGGUGGUCGCCUCCCAAAAUGUAACGGAGGCGUUCAAAGGUUCCCUCAUGACGAAUAGAAAUCGUCGGUAGAGUGUAAAGACAAAAGGGAGCUUGACUGCGAGACAUACAGGUCGAGCAGGUGCGAAAGCAGGACUUAGUGAUCCAGUGGUUCUGAAUGGAAGGGCCAUUGCUAAACGGAUAAAAGGUACGCCGGGGAUAACAGGCUGAUCUCCUCUAAGAGUCCACAUCGACGAGGAGGUUUGGCACCUCGAUGUCGGCUCAUCGCAUCCUGGGGCUGAAGAAGGUCCCAAGGGUUUGGCUGUUCGCCAAUUAAAGCGGUACGCGAGCUGGGUUCAGAACGUCGUAAGACAGUUCGGUCCUUAUCCGCCGUGGGCGUAGGGUAUUUGAGAGGGGCUGUCCCUAGUACGAGAGGACCGGGAUGGGCAAAUCUCUAGUGUUCCAGUUGUUUACCAAAAGCAACGCUGGGUAGCUAAAUUUGUUAGAGAUAACCGCUGAAAGCAUCUAAGUGGGAAACUCGCCUCAAGAUAAGAUACCCCGUAUUUUAAUACGUAAGAUCCCUUGAAGACUACAAGGUUGAUAGGCUGGAUGUGUACGUGCAGUAAUGCACUUAGCUAACCAGUACUAAUAGAUCGAGAGUUUUAAUCGC